UACGGGGGGGGCAAGCGUUGUUCGGAAUUACUGGGCGUAAAGGGCGCGUAGGCGGCCCGCUAAGUCAGACGUGAAAUCCCUCGGCUCAACCGGGGAACUGCGUCUGAUACUGGCGGGCUUGAAUCCGGGAGAGGGAUGUGGAAUUCCAGGUGUAGCGGUGAAAUGCGUAGAUAUCUGGAGGAACACCGGUGGCGAAGGCGGCAUCCUGGACCGGUAUUGACGCUGAGGCGCGAAAGCCAGGGGAGCAAACGGG
Molecule: ribosomal RNA, 253 nt
Filed under: uncultured bacterium
Lineage: Bacteria
Description: partial 16S ribosomal RNA
Rfam family: Bacterial small subunit ribosomal RNA
Source: RNAcentral